UCGUCAUUUCCCACACUCUCUCACCGGUCAGAGAUGCGAGAUAGUGUGUGAAAUAAAGAGA
This 61-nucleotide microRNA precursor is filed under the name Pristionchus pacificus. RNAcentral's name for it is "mir-8364 microRNA precursor family". It matches the Rfam family "mir-8364 microRNA precursor family". Lineage: Eukaryota; Metazoa; Nematoda; Chromadorea; Rhabditida; Neodiplogasteridae. The record is from Rfam by way of RNAcentral.